This is a long non-coding RNA of Haliotis rubra (blacklip abalone), 181 nucleotides long. RefSeq lists it as uncharacterized. NCBI's taxonomy places the organism in Eukaryota, Metazoa, Mollusca, Gastropoda, Lepetellida, Haliotidae. The record is from RefSeq and is a predicted model, not a curated record. The transcript is spliced from 3 exons.
AUAACUGAUUUAUUCAGCAGAAGGAAAGAUGAUACGGGCCUGGGUGCUUGCCUGGUUGGCUGCACAUGCGUAGCAGGGAGGUAACUCCACGUGGUGGGGGGCGUAUAAUAGAUAAAAAUGAUUUUUAUUUAUUGUACAAUAUUUUUAUUAAAACAUUGAUACAACUGUCACAUGACAUUUU